GUGACACCUCGAGAUCAAUGAUCAUCACGUUGGACAGACAUCGUUCCUCCAUCAGGCGCAUGUCCAGGACCAUCAGGAUCCUCUUGGAAAUCGCUUGUAUGGAGAAAUUGUCUAUUGCCGUGUCUCGUAAUCGCAAAACAGUGACACGAUGCCCCUCUUCUGUCAGGGAUGGCAGGACGAAAUAAUAUCUGGAUUAUAGAACCAAAAAAAAUAGAGAGUAAAAAGAGUUACAUGGAUUCGCAGCAUUCUUGAAUGUCCUUCGAUAGCGGAUCCCGUAGAGAGAAGAACUCGGGUAUCGCCGUGCGCACGCUAAAGUAUCGUUCUAAAAUAAUCUUGCACCUCUCGAUGCUGUUCUUGCAGCCGAAGAGGAAUCUCUCCAGUCUUGCGUCAUCUGGAAUCAAUCAUUCCAAAUCUCUCUGUAAAUCCUAUAUGUAAUUACAGUUUACGAGCGACGAUUCUGCCAUUACAAAUAGCAGAAUGCAUAACGACACUCAUCUCUCUCAUGAAGAGUAUUAUAUCUGAUUACCAUUAGAAGCAGUUAAAGACAGUUACUAGUCAAAUUCGUUAUUAGGUAAUAGAUUCAGCAGUCUUCGAAGGAUUUGAGAGUCGAUAGUUUCAUAGAAAAGUGAAUUAGACCGGACCCAUAUGAUUAGGCAGAUGAGGCUGUUUCGAAAGCCAUUCCCUAAUCGCUGCUAUGUCAUUUUUCAGCAUUUUUGAGUCUACUGGAAUUUCUUCGUCGAUACGCUUCUGUUGUGCAGCGGUUGGCGGCAACAGCGUCAUUUUGGCCUGCGAAGUACAUACAUAUAUUUUUCACUCUCGCAUCACCUAUUAUUUUUUUCUUAAUAAUACGUAAAACGAUUGAAGAGUUUACAGUGAAUUCAAUGCGAAUUUGAAGCUCAGUUUUGAGUCUAGAAUUAUGAUACUUGAUGAUCUACUCUACUAUUAGAUAAUUCUUUACAAUAAGAUGGUGCGUUUGUUUGACAGUCCUUGUUUGACAGUCCAUCUUUCUCGAAAGUUACAGUAUCCGUGGAAAACUAUCGGCGACGACAGACCGAUCCUCGAAAGAAAAAGAUCACUAUCACAACCUGUUCAAUAUUGACGUUGGUCGCGCAGCAUCAUCCAGCCUGUUUGCGCACCGAGUGGAGCACCUCCUCGAGGUUCCUUUAAUUUCAUGUUUACUUGCCUUUGAAGUAUUUUUCAGAUAUCGUACACGAUGUAUCGGCGUAGCGAAAUUUUUCAAUGCUAAUACGAUACCUAUGACGUCGCUCCGACCGUAAUAUGUCAAUACCCGUGUGUUUGACAACCUUUUAAUUACCAAAUGGCUGGUAAAAUGAAGCGCGCACGCAAAUAGAAUAGAGAUCGCGUGUUUUCAGGAACGCUUAGCAUGAUUGUGCCAUAACGAAUUAUUCUUGAAACUGACAAAAAUUGUCGAGUACUGCGAUCGCAUUUUCAACGACGGUUUGCGCAAAUUACAAAAGCUGGAAGGUGAAACGGUAGGAGAACUAUGCCUGGAGGGACUUGACACCUGACCAGAAUUCGAUGCCGGUUGCAUCACUGCCGAAUCUAGAGUACAUCGAUGUGGCUUUGCCGUAGAAAGUGCGCAAUUUCGAAUUGAGAAAUAGGAUGUUGUGGGUGAAAGGACGCUGUACGUGAGCGAAAUUGAUGAGACUAUCGUAAAAAGACACGUAAACGUCACCACGAAAAUAAAGAAUACGAGGAUACAUUUUACGCCCCGAAAUCAGCAAAUCAUUUUUAAUUCUUCGUGCAAGCUUAAAUGAAUUAAAUUUAUGUUUUCAAGAUAUAUAAAAAAAUAUGAAAUAUAAGAUCUCAACUAUGUAAACAUAUGAAAUGCUGAAAAGCGAAUUAGAAAAAAUUGUAAAAGGAUUGUUCAACUCACCCGAAAAUAGAACGAUCGUCGGCGCACCAAUUUCGGUAUGAAUGCAGGCUGUAAUUGUCACUAAAUAUCGCGAAGAAAUUUCGGCGGAUAAAAAAGAGUACUGUAUGCGGAGUCUAUGGCGAACGUCUCUAAACUGCACCGAGUGUUCGAUCGGCAUUCGAUCCGGCCCAGAGCGAUUCCUCUCUUCCGGAGACCACGAGUGGUCCCCACCAUCCUGCAUAGCACACAAGGCGGGCCUAGGAAAAUGACCGAACGCGUUGUUUUCUCUGGGCGCGAACGUGUCGAAGGUGCAUGCACGGUUUUCGUAAUCGUCGCAUUACCGUCUACGUGAACGGAUUUUGCUUAUGUGACCGCAACGGUGGUCGUGGAGACACGAAGAACACCGUGAGAACCAAGAGACGAAGAUUCGUCAAUCUAAAAUCAUAGCGAAACAAUACCAUUUUGCACAUUUGGCUCUGCUCGUCUUACGUUGACGAGUUUCAAGGACGCAGAAAUCUACCGAGAACCGCCAUUUUGCGAAGAUUUGGCCUUCUUCCUGGCAAAUAGAGAAUGUAAUGACGGUUUUAGAAGCGGUUAUUAAAGAUUAUUUUAGGAUGGAGAAUAAGUUUCGGCAAGGCCAAAGUGUAGGCGAAUGUAAUUGCUGGCUUCGACGAUUAGAAAAUGAUAGCUCGGCGAACGGAAGUUGGCAACGCUCGGCCGACAGCUCGCCGAUACACGAUAGAGCUCGGAUAAAUUGUGAAAAUUACCAGACAUGUUAGAGCGACGGGAAAAUUGAUUGAAGAGGUCCGCGACGCUUGCGAAAUGUUCGAUUGUCUGUCUAUACCCAACGGCAUUUACCUCACCAGCAUUUGGUGCACUCUGUUCUCAAGUUAUCAAAAACUUCUCGGUGCUUCCGGAGAAAAUCCGAACGAGUGUCGAGGUAUGAGAAUCUCAGCAGACGAUAUGAACGCUUCCAGCCCUCUGCACUGUUCCUUCAACACCAUGGAAAACCAUGUCUCUCCUGACCCGAAUGACUCGAAGGAUCCUAAUCACCGUAAGAUUAUUAUCCCGAGACCGGCGUCGAAGGAAACUUGAAAUAUAAAUUAAUUGUAUUAAAUACGUUUAUACGGUAUAUCGAAUGUUGAGUGUUCGAGUUACAAUAAACCCUUAAAACGAAACAGCGGAAGGGGUGAGAUCAAACUCUUAAA
Molecule: non-coding RNA, 3084 nt
Organism: Megalopta genalis
Lineage: Eukaryota; Metazoa; Arthropoda; Insecta; Hymenoptera; Halictidae
Source: RefSeq, a predicted model, not a curated record